AGUCGAACGAAGUAGCAAUACUUAGUGGCAGACGGGUGAGUAACAUGUAGGUAUCUUCCCUUUGGUGAGGAAUAACACGAGGAAACUUGUGCUAAUACCUCAUAAGUCUUUACGGAGAAAGCUUUAUGCGCCGAUGGAUGAGCCUGCACUUGAUUAGUUUGUUGGUAGGGUAAUGGCCUACCAAGACAAUGAUCAAUAGCUGAUUUGAGAGGAUGAUCAGCCACAUUGGGACUGAGACACGGCCCAAACUCCUACGGGAGGCAGCAGUAGGGAAUCUUGCACAAUGGGGGAAACCCUGAUGCAGCGAUGCCGCGUGAGUGAAGAAGGCCUUUGGGUUGUAAAGCUCUUUCGUCGGGGAAGAAAAUGACUGUACCCGAAUAAGAAGGUCCGGCUAACUUCGUGCCAGCAGCCGCGGUAAUACGAAGGGACCUAGCGUAGUUCGGAAUUACUGGGCUUAAAGAGUUCGUAGGUGGUUAAAAAAGUUGGUGGUGAAAUCCCAGAGCUUAACUCCGGAACUGCCAUCAAAACUUUUUAGCUAGAGUAUGAUAGAGGAAAGUAGAAUUUCUAGUGUAGAGGUGAAAUUCGUAGAUAUUAGAAAGAAUACCAAUUGCGAAGGCAGCUUUCUGGAUCAUUACUGACACUGAGGAACGAAAGCAUGGGUAGCGAAGAGGAUUAGAUACCCUCGUAGUCCAUGCCGUAAACGAUGUGUGUUAGACGUUGGAAAUUUAUUUUCUGUGUCGCAGCGAAAGCAAUAAACACACCGCCUGGGGAGUACGACCGCAAGGUUAAAACUCAAAUGAAUUGACGGAGACCCGCACAAGUAGUGGAGCAUGUGGUUUAAUUCGAAGAUACGCGCAGAACCUUACCAACACUUGACAUGUUCGUCGCGACUUUAAGAGAUUAAAGUUUUCGGUUCGGCCGGACGAAACACAGGUGCUGCAUGGCUGUCGUCAGCUC
RNAcentral lists this ribosomal RNA (957 nucleotides) under uncultured marine bacterium. Its description in RNAcentral is "bacterial SSU rRNA". It matches the Rfam family "Bacterial small subunit ribosomal RNA", at positions 60 to 1061 of the family's 1533-position model. The record is from RNAcentral.